GAUGAACGCUGGCGGCGUGCCUAAUACAUGCAAGUAGAACGCUGAAGGAGGGAGCUUGCUCUUUCCGGAUGAGUUGCGAACGGGUGAGUAACGCGUAGGUAACCUGCCUGGUAGCGGGGGAUAACUAUUGGAAACGAUAGCUAAUACCGCAUAACAGUAGAUGUUGCAUGAUAUCUACUUAAAAGGUGCAAUUGCACCACUACCAGAUGGACCUGCGUUGUAUUAGCUAGUUGGUGAGGUAACGGCUCACCAAGGCGACGAUACAUAGCCGACCUGAGAGGGUGAUCCGCCAAAAUGGGAAUGAGAAACGGCCCAGAACUCUACGGGAGGCAGCAGGAGGGAAUUUUUGGCAAUGGACGGAAGGCUGACCGAGCAACGCCGCGGGAGGGAAGAAGGGUUUCGGAUCGGAAAGAUCUGUUGUAAGGGAAGAAAGAGUGUGAGAGUGGAAAGUUCACACUGUGACGGUAUCUUACCAGAAAGGGACGGCUAACUACGUG
RNAcentral lists this ribosomal RNA (497 nucleotides) under uncultured bacterium. RNAcentral describes it as "partial 16S ribosomal RNA". It matches the Rfam family "Bacterial small subunit ribosomal RNA", at positions 28 to 507 of the family's 1533-position model. The record is from RNAcentral.